UUGCCUAACUCUUUUGAUUUUUUCUGUUCAUUCAGAUUUAGAUCAUGUGUGUUUUGACAAGUGUAUCACAGAAGUGAUCCUGUGGAUCUUCUCUUUGCAUCCUAACAUGGGAUCUACAUCUGAUUUGUCUUAUUCCUGAUGAUGUUAGUAUUGACCGCUAAUGGUGGUAUCUGCUGUGUUUGAGAUUUGACUUGCUGAAUGAGCCAAGCAUAGUACCUGAAAUAAAUCUAACUCAGUCAGGUGAUACUGGCUUUAUAAAACUAUUUGGCAUCCACAGCUCAUGAGAAUUAUUCACAAAUAUCCCCUCUUGCCCCUGGGUUUUGUGAUUGGGACCUGAGUGUACUGGAUCUGACAUGUGGGCCCAUCCUCUGGGCCCUGGAGAUCAAUCCCUGAACAUAGCAGGGAGAAGCAUACUGUUCCCAAGUCCCUCCUGGGAUGCUCAAGCUGGAUCAAUGUCCCUCCACUUCGGGCUGUGUCCCACUCUGCUGAAGUCACCAGCAACAGUACCAGGGAUGGCCAGCAGGCAGUGCACUCACAGUCCAAGCACCUCUUUUUUCUGCUACAGGACCUCCAGAGAAAAGGACCCACUGCACUCAUGUGGCUCCUGCAGUCUGGGCCAGAGUUGAGAAAUGUCUGUGUUGGGAUGAGGAAGAUGGAACCAGAAUGUUUGGGGCACCCUGGUGAAGACAAAGGCAGCAGGUGUGUCAAAAAGCAAUGUGGAAUCUCCCAUCUUGCUUGGGUCUGUGCGGCAUGAGAUGCACUAAGCGGUGCUG
Long non-coding RNA from Lemur catta (Ring-tailed lemur), 773 nucleotides. RefSeq lists it as uncharacterized. Lineage: Eukaryota; Metazoa; Chordata; Mammalia; Primates; Lemuridae. The record is from RefSeq and is a predicted model, not a curated record. The transcript has 4 exons.